RNAcentral lists this ribosomal RNA (406 nucleotides) under uncultured bacterium. RNAcentral describes it as "partial 16S ribosomal RNA". It matches the Rfam family "Bacterial small subunit ribosomal RNA", at positions 30 to 526 of the family's 1533-position model. The record is from RNAcentral.
AUUGAACGCUGGCGGCAGGCCUAACACAUGCAAGUCGAACGAGUGGCGGACGGGUGAGUAAUGUCUGGGAAACUGCCCGAUGGAGGGGGAUAUCUACUGGAAACGGUAGCUAAUACCGCAUACCAUCGGAUGUGCCCAGAUGGGAUUAGCUAGGAGGUGGGGUAACGGCUCACCUAGGCGACGAUCCCUAGCUGGUCUGAGAGGAGGACCAGCAACAGUGGAACGGAGCCACGGUCCAGAUUCUUACGGGAGGCAGCGGUGGGGAAUAUUGCACAAUGGGCGCAAGCCUGAUGCAGCCAUGCCGCGUGUAUGAAGAAGGCCUUCGGGUUUUAAAGUACUUUCAGCGGGGAGGCGUUACUCGCAGAAGAAGCACCGGCUAACUCCGUGCCAGCAGCCGCGGUAAUUC